Molecule: ribosomal RNA, 372 nt
Filed under: uncultured organism
Description: bacterial SSU rRNA
Rfam family: Bacterial small subunit ribosomal RNA
Source: RNAcentral
CAGAGGUCUCAAGCGUUGUUCGGAUUCAUUGGGCGUAAAGGGUGCGUAGGCGGCGCGGUAAGUCGGGUGUGAAAUCCUGGAGCUUAACUCCGAAACUGCAUUCGAUACUGCCGUGCUUGAGGACUGGAGAGGAGACUGGAAUUUACGGUGUAGCGGUGAAAUGCGUAGAUAUCGUAAGGAAGACCAGUGGCGAAGGCGGGUCUCUGGACAGUUCCUGACGCUGAGGCACGAAGGCCAGGGGAGCAAACGGGAUUAGAUACCCCGGUAGUCCUGGCAGUAAACGGUGCACGUUUGGUGUGGGAGGAUUCGACCCCUUCUGCGCCGGAGCUAACGCGUUAAACGUGCCGCCUGGGGAGUACGGUCGCAAGAUUA